This 3856-nucleotide long non-coding RNA is filed under the name Citrus sinensis (sweet orange). Its description in RNAcentral is "long non-coding RNA (CSIN_LNC002173)". The record is from RNAcentral. Lineage: Eukaryota; Viridiplantae; Streptophyta; Magnoliopsida; Sapindales; Rutaceae.
CACAUGGCCAGCCCUAAUUUCUUAAUCCAAACCUAAUCACACACAAAUACACAAUCACGCUGCCUACAAUAGAUUUGGUCAUCUGCUGUGCUGCUUGCCGACAACAAAUUGCUGCUCUUCGUCUUCGUCUUCGUCUUCGUCCUCAUCCCCGAUCUCUAGCUUGCUGGCUAUUCCCAUUUCCUUUUGUUUCGCAACUUAAUGGUUGUUGCCGGUAGCCUGCUACCUUCUUCAACUCCGAGCUAUAGCUAAUGCCUUCUUAAUUUAGAUUUUCUUCAAGUUCGAGUUGCUGCUACUGUAUUCUUUUGUGAGAGGUAAGCUGAUGGGUUCUUUCAUUUGUACACUAGGGUUUGGGGUUCUCUGAUCAGAAUAUAUCGGCUGGUCUGGUGAUUGCUCAACCGCCGUCGAUUUUUGAGGUGCCGCCCAGGUUGAGCCCCGCAAUUCUACUUGACUCGCUAAAUUUCAGUUUGUUUUCGCCUACACAGGUAAUUCAAUUUAACUUUGUCUGACCUAAAGUUUCUUCAUUUAUUCAUUAGAUUUUAGCUUGUUUAGGAAAGCUUUCAUUUUUAUUGGGUUUCGCAUUUAAAUUCUAAUAAUCCUUGGGUUUGAAUUUUGAUUUUUUUUUUUUUGGAGGGAUGGAAAAUUUUCUUCAUUGCCUUGAUUUGUUAGCAGUCGGUUGGAAUUUUGAAUUAGAGCUUGCUGAAGCAUUUAUUAUAGAAUUUAUAAAUGUGCCCUGUAAUUGGGAUAAAAACUCUUGACUUAAUUAAUCUGACAGAAGAACAUUUUGAGCAAUGUUGUAAUGUGAUUGUGCAUUGCUGAGAUAAUCUCAUCUUGUUUUGGUAUUCUAACCAAUAAAAAAAAAUUUAAGUGUUGGACUCCCCUUCGGCUUCACAUGGCAAGCCCUAAUUUCUUAAUCCAAACCUAAUCACACACAAAUACACAAUCACGCUGCCUACAAUAGAUUUGGUCAUCUGCUGUGCUGCUUGCCGACAACAAAUUGCUGCUCUUCGUCUUCGUCUUCGUCUUCGUCCUCAUCCCCGAUCUCUAGCUUGCUGGCUAUUCCCAUUUCCUUUUGUUUCGCAACUUAAUGGUUGUUGCCGGUAGCCUGCUACCUUCUUCAACUCCGAGCUAUAGCUAAUGCCUUCUUAAUUUAGAUUUUCUUCAAGUUCGAGUUGCUGCUACUGUAUUCUUUUGUGAGAGGUAAGCUGAUGGGUUCUUUCAUUUGUACACUAGGGUUUGGGGUUCUCUGAUCAGAAUAUAUCGGCUGGUCUGGUGAUUGCUCAACCGCCGUCGAUUUUUGAGGUGCCGCCCAGGUUGAGCCCCGCAAUUCUGCUUGACUCGCUAAAUUUCAGUUUGUUUUCGCCUACACAGGUAAUUCAAUUUAACUUUGUCUGACCUAAAGUUUCUUCAUUUAUUCAUUAGAUUUUAGCUUGUUUAGGAAAGCUUUCAUUUUUAUUGGGUUUCGCAUUUAAAUGCUAAUAAUCCUUGGGUUUGAAUUUUGAUUUUUUUUUUUUUGGAGGGAUGGAAAAUUUUCUUCAUUGCCUUGAUUUGUUAGCAGUCGGUUGGAAUUUUGAAUUAGAGCUUGCUGAAGCAUUUAUUAUAGAAUUUAUAAAUGUGCCCUGUAAUUGGGAUAAAAACUCUUGACUUAAUUAAUCUGACAGAAGAACAUUUUGAGCAAUGUUGUAAUGUGAUUGUGCAUUGCUGAGAUAAUCUCAUCUUGUUUUGGUAUUCUAAGUAUCCAAAUGGACUGGAUAGUAGGCUAUCCAGGUCAAGUUUUAAUGGUAAUUGGGCAUUUUUCUUUCCUGAUUUUAGUUUCAUCUCUUUUUAGAUGAAGCAUAUGGUUAAUGCAAACAAUUAACGAAAGAAAAGCUCUUGGUAUUACUAGUGUUGGAGAUCCAAUUGUCUUCAUGUAAACUGUGAACACUUUUAACUCCCAUAUCUAAGAUAUAGAGAUCUUUAUGUAGCUUUAAGCCAAAUAUGUGAGAAAUUCUCCAAUCUAGUCACAACUUUAUUAGCAACCAAGAAUGAAAGAGUAUUAGCUUCCAGUUAUAAUUUGAUGACCGGAGCUUGAAUGAGUGAGUGAUAACUUGUAUUGUCUAUAUUGCUUUGUAUGUCAUGCCUCACUGGCAUUAUGUUACUUGGGUAUCCAAAUUUUGCGUUUAUCUAUUACUAAUUUCCCUGAUUCAUUGGAUGCAACCUAGGGAGCCUUUAGAAUGAAGCACUAGCAGGCCCUAGCACAGGUCACUGCCCAAGCUGACAAUUGUAGAGAGGGAAAACAGAGACAAAAGGUUGUAAAACACGUUAAAGAGACAAAAGGAUAUAUAUGUAACAAAAAUAUCUAUUAAAAUUAGGUUCAGGGAGUAUUUGGAUGGAUUUUCUUUCUUUUGAUGUAACUGUGACCAAAAAGGGGUUUUAUUUGCAUUGUAAGUGGAGGUGUUAAUAGCAGCACUAUUUUUAUAUUUGACAACAGAAUACACAUUAACACUAUAUAUAGUGGAACCUCGAUAAAUUAAUAACAUUGAUUAAAUAAUAGUUUUCGCCAACUCAGACGUGGGCCCAACUUAGUAAAUUAAUAAUUCAAUAAAUUUAUUAAACAAUAAUUGUUGUAGAAAAGUAAGAAAUCUUAUUUUUCUAUAGGACUCAACUAAACAUAAAUUAAUAAUUAACCAAUUUAGAAUUAAACACAUAUGAUAUGUUUAAGAUUUUCUUUGUUGUACUAGCAUAAUGAUUUAUGCAUUCCAUUGGUUAUUGUUAUUUCUCUACAACUUUUAGAAGAGAAGCCAGUGUUGUAUUCUAUGUGAUAGGUUAAGAGAAACAAGAGAAAAAUUGACUUAAUAUAUUGUCUCAAAAAAGUCUUCUUUGAUGUGUUAUCAUCUAAUUGUGAUGCAACCAUGCAAUCUAGCAAAAGAAUUAUCAAGUCAUUGAUUUACUCAAUUAAAAUCAAACUAGAAUCAUAUUAUACAGCUUGAUAGAAUCUCUAUAUUCUUUAAUUACACUACAACAAAAACAGUGUAUGAUAGCAUCUGAAAAAUGCUACCAAAUUAAAGUGAAUGGUAGCAUUUUGAACAAUGCUAAGUUAGCCGGUGUAACUAAAAGUAUUACACAUUAGUAGCAUUUUUUACAUGCCACAAAUUAUGAUACAUAGCAUUCUGCUGUACCGUACAUCCGCCUUGGCCGUACAGCAGCAUUAAUUGCACUUGGUUUUAUAUUUCUCUUUACUAUGUACUAUGUUGCAAAAUAUUUUGUUUAUACUUAAUCUUUUAUAAUCCAGCAACUCUUAUGAAGACCUAGUCAACUGUCACUGCUACAUAAGCAUUCAGGUUAUACUGCUUUAUCAUCAUUUUUAUUUUCUUCCCUUUUUCUCUUUUACAGCUUGUGAGCUUACUGCUUCAUUAUGUCAAUUGUCGAAUGUGAUUUUCUAUUUUCUCUUGGGUUGUUUAUUCUCAUUUUCCCUUUAGUAUCAAAGCUGAUUAAAUCAAUUAGACACUGAUGAAUUUUAUUAUGAAUUUGAUUAAUUGUAAGUGGGCAAUAUAUUAAUAUGUAUUUUUUGGGCACUCAUUUUAUUGUAACCUAUGUUUCAGGUGAUGUUGGUGGCUUUCGGGAAUUUACUAAGAGUGUUUUUUUUAUGGAUUAAUUGUUUUUCUAGUGAUGUGUUGGUGAUUGGAUAUUGAUAAAGGAUUUAUGAGAUAUUGUAAAGGAUUUGAUUCACCAUAUAUUUUGUGAUGCUAUUUGUUGGAAGUUUCAAGUGAUUGAAAUUUUUAGCGCAUCACACUAUUUGGUAUUUGAUAGUUUUUAUGAAUUUGAAUGUAAUUUUUAUUUCAAUUAAUUCAAGUUUUAAAUGUGGUUUUUGUUGUUUUUA